This 1605-nucleotide ribosomal RNA is filed under the name Campylobacter coli. RNAcentral describes it as "partial 23S ribosomal RNA". It matches the Rfam family "Bacterial large subunit ribosomal RNA", at positions 1 to 1485 of the family's 2925-position model. The record is from RNAcentral. Lineage: Bacteria; Pseudomonadati; Campylobacterota; Epsilonproteobacteria; Campylobacterales; Campylobacteraceae.
AGGUAAGCUACUAAGAGCGAAUGGUGGAUGCCUUGACUGGUAAAGGCGAUGAAGGACGUACUAGACUGCGAUAAGCUACGGGGAGCUGUCAAGAAGCUUUGAUCCGUAGAUUUCCGAAUGGGGCAACCCAAUGUAUAGAGAUAUACAUUACCUAUAUAGGAGCGAACGAGGGGAAUUGAAACAUCUUAGUACCCUCAGGAAAAGAAAUCAAUAGAGAUUGCGUCAGUAGCGGCGAGCGAAAGCGCAAGAGGGCAAACCCAGUGCUUGCACUGGGGGUUGUAGGACUGCAAUGUGCAAGAGGUGAGUUUAGCAGAACAUUCUGGAAAGUAUAGCCAUAGAGGGUGAUAGUCCCGUAUGCGAAAAACAAACCUUAGCUAGCAGUAUCCUGAGUAGGGCGGGACACGAGAAAUCCUGUCUGAAGCUGGGUCGACCACGAUCCAACCCUAAAUACUAAUACCAGAUCGAUAGUGCACAAGUACCGUGAGGGAAAGGUGAAAAGAACUGAGGUGAUCAGAGUGAAAUAGAACCUGAAACCAUUUGCUUACAAUCAUUCAGAGCCCUAUGUAGCAAUACAGGGUGAUGGACUGCCUUUUGCAUAAUGAGCCUGCGAGUUGUGGUGUCUGGCAAGGUUAAGCAAACGCGAAGCCGUAGCGAAAGCGAGUCUGAAUAGGGCGCUUAGUCAGAUGCUGCAGACCCGAAACGAAGUGAUCUAUCCAUGAGCAAGUUGAAGCUAGUGUAAGAACUAGUGGAGGACUGAACCCAUAGGCGUUGAAAAGCCCCGGGAUGACUUGUGGAUAGGGGUGAAAGGCCAAUCAAACUUCGUGAUAGCUGGUUCUCUCCGAAAUAUAUUUAGGUAUAGCGUUGUGUCGUAAUAUAAGGGGGUAGAGCACUGAAUGGGCUAGGGCAUACACCAAUGUACCAAACCCUAUCAAACUCCGAAUACCUUAUAUGUAAUCACAGCAGUCAGGCGGCGAGUGAUAAAAUCCGUCGUCAAGAGGGAAACAACCCAGACUACCAGCUAAGGUCCCUAAAUCUUACUUAAGUGGAAAACGAUGUGAAGUUACUUAAACAACCAGGAGGUUGGCUUAGAAGCAGCCAUCCUUUAAAGAAAGCGUAAUAGCUCACUGGUCUAGUGAUUUUGCGCGGAAAAUAUAACGGGGCUAAAGUAAGUACCGAAGCUGUAGACUUGCGCACAACUUAGAUUAUUUAAGUUUAGAAUAUGAGAAACUAAGUUAUAUAUUUAGUUAUAUUUUUACUGAUUUUUAUAGAGUAAAGAUAGAAAUAAAACUUAGUAAAAUCAGUAAAAAUAUUCUUAGACUAAAGUUAAGUAGUUUAAGUUGUGUGCAAGUGGUAGGAGAGCGUUCUAUUUGCGUCGAAGGUAUACCGGUAAGGAGUGCUGGAGCGAAUAGAAGUGAGCAUGCAGGCAUGAGUAGCGAUAAUUAAUGUGAGAAUCAUUAACGCCGUAAACCCAAGGUUUCCUACGCGAUGCUCGUCAUCGUAGGGUUAGUCGGGUCCUAAGUCGAGUCCGAAAGGGGUAGACGAUGGCAAAUUGGUUAAUAUUCCAAUACCAACAUUAGUGUGCGAUGGAAGGACGCUUAGGGCUAA